This 264-nucleotide unclassified non-coding RNA is filed under the name Hevea brasiliensis (rubber tree). Lineage: Eukaryota; Viridiplantae; Streptophyta; Magnoliopsida; Malpighiales; Euphorbiaceae. The record is from RNAcentral.
AGAAAUAUCUUUGUUUUGGUAUUUAGGUGCGACGGUCUCAUUAUCAUAUGUAUAAUGUACAAAAGGGCACAGCCAGUGAGUACCUAUGGAGAGGGAAUAGGCAUAGCAUGAGUACAUUAUGUGUAUGGUAAGGGCUCCCGGCUCAUUCAGAUUUUGGUCUGCUGAUCUGUCUGUUGUGCUAAUAGGGGAAAAUCUGCUUCAUAAGAGGCAGGUGAGAACAUCAUACAGGGUUGCACUAAAGGAAGUGCAGGAGGAGGAGAAGAA